This is a non-coding RNA of Podarcis lilfordi (Lilford's wall lizard), 80 nucleotides long. The record is from the annotation of a GenBank genome assembly. NCBI's taxonomy places the organism in Eukaryota, Metazoa, Chordata, Lepidosauria, Squamata, Lacertidae.
GCAUGGAUAGCUCAGCUGGUUACGGCAUGGUGCUGAUAAUGCCAAGGUUGCAGGUUCGAUCCUUGCAUGGGACAGCUGCA